RNAcentral lists this long non-coding RNA (320 nucleotides) under Nicotiana benthamiana. RNAcentral's name for it is "long non-coding RNA (NBEN_LNC037076)". The record is from RNAcentral. Lineage: Eukaryota; Viridiplantae; Streptophyta; Magnoliopsida; Solanales; Solanaceae.
GAUUUUUUACGCCGGUGACGGCGCCGUGGUCACGCCAGUCAUAAUCAGCUGGAAGGUCGGAAGUCGGGAGGAUCGGAGCUUUUUCAGCGUUAAGCUUAGGUUUGGGUUUGUGAAGUCCAAGGUAAGUCCGGCGGAACUCCGAUGGAGUAAGAUCGGAGAACUUUGUAAUACCGUGUUCGGCGGAAGGGUCAAGGAGCUGAUGACGCCGCGCACGGCGGAGGUUUGCCUUGAAUACCUUGAACCUAUGGUCAUGUUCCUCUUCCGAAGCGUAGAUCUUUCCGAACUUUGACUUAAAAAGUGAAAAGUGAUGCUCGGCGUUU